GUUAAAAGCUAGGGCUAGUACUUGGAGGAUGUGUAGGCAAACGGAAGGAGAGCCAGGGGAAGAAAAACCGAAAUGGAUUCAUUCUCUGUCCUGGAUGGAGGAGGAGAGGAGAAGAGAAGGGGACGUGCGAGCUUCCUUCAACUGCCUCUGUCCGGUGAAAAGUGCUCAGACCCCCGGGGCUGCGCCGGGCUCCGGAGUCCGCGCGGACUUUCGCGUUGAGCUGCCAAUCAAACCGCUCUCAGCCACCACCCUGCUCUGGCACCGACAU
Acanthisitta chloris (rifleman) is the source of this 268-nucleotide long non-coding RNA. It matches the Rfam family "SOX2 overlapping transcript exon 3". Rfam says of the family: SOX2 overlapping transcript (SOX2OT) is a long non-coding RNA, containing at least 5 exons. The SOX2 gene, an important regulator of neurogenesis, lies within one of the introns of SOX2OT. Lineage: Eukaryota; Metazoa; Chordata; Aves; Passeriformes; Acanthisittidae. The record is from Rfam.